GAAAAAAGUGUGUUGGGCAUGGAGGCUCAUGCCUGUAGUCCCUGCUACUCAGGAGGCUGAGGGUUUAUGUGACUUUGGACAUUAAUGUCACCUCCCAGCCUGUUGUCAUGAACCCCACUCAUCACAGUGGCUGUGGGGUCAGUGGUGCCCAGGACACGGGAGGCUCAGCCGUGGUGAAUUUCCAGACCAGUUCAGACCGGAGGGUGGGACGGGAGAGGAUCCUGGUGUCGGGUUCCACAGUCCAGGAGGAUGAUUGACGCCCCCACUCAAGAGCUGACAUCGGCUGCAAAUACCAAGAAGUGCUGCUUGUGAUACGUCUGAAAUAUGCGGAUCACCACAGCCACAGGCCCAGAAAGAGAAAGAAAAAUUCCCAACAUUGAGACGCAUCCCCUGCAAUGAACAGAGCUCAGAGCUGAGUGGCCACAGGUGUCCGGGACCACCCAGGGUCACUAGGGAGGAGGAGGUUCCCACCUCCGUGUGGGACAGAAGAGGAACCCCAGGUCCUCGCAGGCAGGGAGGGGUCAGGGCUCUGGGUGGGGCUGGACGCUGUGGCUCCCCCUCCCCUGUGUGUGUCUCUGCUCACUCACUGGAGUCCACGCUCAGCUCUCAGCCCCUCCCUGUGUGUGAGAAACAGAUUCAAUCCGUGGUGCUCAGACAUGGGCGUCUGCCCCACAGGUGAGUGUGAGGCUGGCAUUGGUCCCAUCCCUGCCGGGCACAAUCUUGAGCUGACGCUAAGUUUGGGAGAGUGGGGCAGGAGCAGCGGCAACGAUCCCCUUCAUCAGGCUGAUGCCUGGACAGCCGUGGGAGAAACCCUUUAUGAAAGGCCAGGUGCGCGGGAGGAGGGCCGCCCCGCAGGAAUGACAACCAUAUGAGGAAAGUUGUCGAAAUGCAUUAGGUAGACAUUGUGAAGCUGAAAAGCUAUAUUAAAUUAACACCAUUAAAAAGGAA
This is a long non-coding RNA of Rhinopithecus roxellana (golden snub-nosed monkey), 948 nucleotides long. RefSeq lists it as uncharacterized. The transcript has 2 exons. The record is from RefSeq and is a predicted model, not a curated record. Lineage: Eukaryota; Metazoa; Chordata; Mammalia; Primates; Cercopithecidae.